This 495-nucleotide ribosomal RNA is filed under the name uncultured bacterium. RNAcentral's name for it is "partial 16S ribosomal RNA". It matches the Rfam family "Bacterial small subunit ribosomal RNA", at positions 28 to 507 of the family's 1533-position model. The record is from RNAcentral.
GACGAACGCUGGCGGCGUGCCUAAUACAUGCAAGUAGAACGCUGAAGGAGGAGCUUGCUUCUCUGGAUGAGUUGCGAACGGGUGAGUAACGCGUAGGUAACCUGCCUGGUAGCGGGGGUUAACUAUUGGAAACGAUAGCUAAUACCGCAUAAGAGUAGAUGUUGCAUGACAUUUGCUUAAAAGGUGCAAUUGCAUCACUACCAGAUGGACCUGCGUUGUAUUAGCUAGUUGGUGGGGUAACGGCUCACCAAGGCGACGAUACAUAGCCGACCUGAGAGGGUGAUCGGCCACACUGGGACUGAGACACGGCCCAGACUCCUACGGGAGGCAGCAGUAGGGAAUCUUCGGCAAUGGACGGAAGUCUGACCGAGCAACGCCGCGUGAGUGAAGAAGGUUUUCGGAUCGUAAAGCUCUGUUGUAAGAGAAGAACGAGUGUGAGAGUGGAAAGUUCACACUGUGACGGUAUCUUACCAGAAAGGGACGGCUAACUACGUG